CGUCACACACUGCCCCAGAAAAGUGUCGGAGAGUUUGCACAGUCUUGGUACCUUCUGCUAGCCAGCCACACACUGUGCAACUGGCUGAUGCCGGAUAAGGCAGCCCGACUUCCACGGCUCUCAGCUGCCAGAGGAGAAAAUAUUUUGUGUUCUUUGAAACAUAACUUGGCACCAGGGAAGUUAUCGUAAAAACCAGAAGCAUUUUAAUAUUCCUAAGCGUGUUGAUGUUGUUUAAAACGAACACAAGCUUCUUUAUGUAAAGUGAUUUUAAUACCACAUUGCCACAAAGACAGUGUGAUGUAUAAAAUGUAGUUUAUCAAAAGUG
Molecule: long non-coding RNA, 325 nt
Organism: Rhipicephalus microplus (southern cattle tick)
Lineage: Eukaryota; Metazoa; Arthropoda; Arachnida; Ixodida; Ixodidae
Source: RefSeq, a predicted model, not a curated record